AAAAACCCUAGCGUCUAUCAAUUCCUCGUUCUUGUCACUUCUUCGCUUGGGUGCUCUCUUAAUCACGGAAAAUCAUGGAUCCAAAGCCAGAAGAACCUGUUGUUGCUGUUGUUACUUACAUCUGCGGAGACUGUGGUGAAGAGAACACUUUGAAGAGUGGAGAUGUGUUCAAAUGCAAAGAGUGUGGGUUCCGUGUUCUCUACAAGAAGCGUAUCCCUUAAAAACGGCGCAUACCGGCGGACUAAAUACUAAUCUUUAAUCCUUCCUUUUCAUUGUUGAUAAAAUUCUGUAAAACUUCUCAUAACUUCUCAACGAAGUUUUCUGA
Non-coding RNA from Camelina sativa (false flax), 325 nucleotides. NCBI's taxonomy places the organism in Eukaryota, Viridiplantae, Streptophyta, Magnoliopsida, Brassicales, Brassicaceae. The record is from RefSeq and is a predicted model, not a curated record.